RNAcentral lists this ribosomal RNA (253 nucleotides) under uncultured bacterium. RNAcentral's name for it is "partial 16S ribosomal RNA". It matches the Rfam family "Bacterial small subunit ribosomal RNA", at positions 524 to 776 of the family's 1533-position model. The record is from RNAcentral.
UACGGAGGGUGCAAGCGUUAUCCGGAUUCACUGGGUUUAAAGGGUGCGUAGGUGGGUCUGUAAGUCCGUGGUGAAAUCUCCGAGCUUAACUUGGAAACUGCCAUGGAUACUAUAGGUCUUGAAUACCGUGGAGGUCAGCGGAAUAUGUCAUGUAGCGGUGAAAUGCUUAGAUAUGACAUAGAACACCAAUUGCGAAGGCAGCUCGUUACACGAAGAUUGACUCUGAGGCACGAAAGCGUGGGGAUCAAACAGG